UUAAGUUAAUAAGGGCGCACGGUGGAUGCCUUGGCACUAGGAGCCGAAGAAGGACGUGACAAACGACGAUAUGCCUUGGGUAGCUGUAAGUAAGCGAUGAUCCAGGGAUUUCCGAAUGGGGGGAACCCAACAGGUACUACCUGUUACCCACAUCUGUUAAGGAUGUGAGGAGGAAGACGCAGUGAACUGAAACAUCUAAGUAGCUGCAGGAAGAGAAAGCAAAAGCGAUUGCCUUAGUAGCGGCGAGCGAAACGGCAGAAGGGCAAACCGAAGAGUUUACUCUUCGGGGUUGUAGGACUGCAAUGUGGACUCAAAGAUUAUAGAAGAAUGAUUUGGGAAGAUCAGCCAAAGAGAGUAAUAGCCUCGUAUUUAAAAUAGUCUUUGUACCUAGCAGUAUCCUGAGUACGGCGGGACACGAGAAAUCCCGUCGGAAUCUGGGAGGACCAUCUCCCAACCCUAAAUACUCCCUAGUGACCGAUAGUGAACCAGUACCGUGAGGGAAAGGUGAAAAGCACCCCGGGAGGGGAGUGAAAUAGAACCUGAAACCGUGUGCCUACGACAAGUUCGAGCCCGUUAAUGGGUGAGAGCGUGCCUUUUGUAGAAUGAACCGGCGAGUUACGUUAUGAUGCGAGGUUAAGUUGAAGAGACGGAGCCGUAGGGAAACCGAGUCUGAAUAGGGCGAAUUAGUAUCAUGACGUAGACCCGAAACCAUGUGACCUACCCAUGAGCAGGUUGAAGGUGCGGUAAGACGCACUGGAGGACCGAACCAGGGCACGUUGAAAGUGCUUGGAUGACUUGUGGGUAGCGGAGAAAUUCCAAACGAACUUGGAGAUAGCUGGUUCUCUCCGAAAUAGCUUUAGGGCUAGCGUCGACAUUAAGAUUCUUGGAGGUAGAGCACUGUUUGGGUGAGGGGUCCAUCCCGGAUUACCAAUCUCAGAUAAACUCCGAAUGCCAAUGAAUUAUGGGUCGGCAGUCAGACUGCGGAGUGCUAAGAUCCGUAGUCGGAAGGGAAACAGCCCAGACCACCAGCUAAGGUCCCAAAAUAAUUGUUAAGUGGAAAAGGAUGUGGGGUUGCACAGACAACUAGGAUGUUAGCUUAGAAGCAGCUAUUCAUUCAAAGAGUGCGUAAUAGCUCACUAGUCGAGUGACCCUGCGCCGAAAAUGUACCGGGGCUAAAACAAUUUACCGAAGCUGUGGAUACCUUUAUAGGUAUGGUAGGAGAGCGUUCUAUGUGUGAAGAAGGUGUACCGUGAGGAGUGCUGGAACGCAUAGAAGUGAGAAUGCCGGUAUGAGUAGCGAAAGACAGGUGAGAAUCCUGUCCACCGUAAGACUAAGGUUUCCAGGGGAAGGCUCGUCCGCCCUGGGUUAGUCGGGACCUAAGGAGAGACCGAAAGGUGUAUCCGAUGGACAACAGGUUGAUAUUCCUGUACUAGAGUAUGUAGUGAUGGAGGGACGCAGUAGGCUAACUAAAGCAGACGAUUGGAAGAGUCUGUCUAAGCAGUGAGGUGUGAUAUGAGUCAAAUGCUUAUAUCUAUAACAUUGAGCUGUGAUGGGGAGCGAAGUUUAGUAGCGAAGUUAGUGACGUCACACUGCCAAGAAAAGCUUCUAGCGUUUAAACAUACUCUACCCGUACCGCAAACCGACACAGGUAGUCGAGGCGAGUAGCCUCAGGUGAGCGAGAGAACUCUCGUUAAGGAACUCGGCAAAAUGACCCCGUAACUUCGGGAGAAGGGGUGCUGACUUUAAGUCAGCCGCAGUGAAUAGGCCCAAGCAACUGUUUAUCAAAAACACAGCUCUCUGCUAAAUCGUAAGAUGAUGUAUAGGGGGUGACGCCUGCCCGGUGCUGGAAGGUUAAGAGGAGUGCUUAGCGCAAGCGAAGGUAUGAAUUGAAGCCCCAGUAAACGGCGGCCGUAACUAUAACGGUCCUAAGGUAGCGAAAUUCCUUGUCGGGUAAGUUCCGACCCGCACGAAAGGCGUAAUGAUUUGGGCACUGUCUCAACGAGAGACUCGGUGAAAUUUUAGUACCUGUGAAGAUGCAGGUUACCCGCGACAGGACGGAAAGACCCCAUGGAGCUUUACUGCAGUUUGAUAUUGAGUGUCUGUACCACAUGUACAGGAUAGGUAGGAGUCUAAGAGAUCGGGACGCCAGUUUCGAAGGAGACGUUGUUGGGAUACUACCCGU
Molecule: ribosomal RNA, 2182 nt
Filed under: Streptococcus mitis
Lineage: Bacteria; Bacillati; Bacillota; Bacilli; Lactobacillales; Streptococcaceae
Also listed under: 1 other name
Description: bacterial LSU rRNA
Rfam family: Bacterial large subunit ribosomal RNA
Source: RNAcentral